CAGCAGUAAGGAAUAUUGGGCAAUGGAGGCAACUCUGACCCAGCCAUCCCGCGUGAAGGAUUAAGGCCCUAUGGGUUGUAAACUUCUUUUGUUUGGGAAGAAAUCUGGACAUUUAUGUGCAGUUGACGGUACCUUAMGAAUAAGCACCGGCUAACUCCGUGCCAGCAGCCGCGGUAAUACGGAGGGUGCAAGCGUUAUCCGGAAUCACUGGGUUUAAAGGGUGCGUAGGCGGUUUGAUAAGUCAGAGGUGAAAGCUAGCAGCUUAACUGUUAAAUUGCCUUUGAUACUGUCAGACUUGAAUCAAGUUGAGGUAGGCGGAAUGUGACAUGUAGCGGUGAAAUGCAUAGAUAUGUCAUAGAACACCAAUUGCGUAGGCAGCUUGCUGGGCUUGAAUUGACGCUGAGGCACGAAAGCGUGGGGAUCAAACAGGAUUAGAUACCCUGGUAGUCCACGCCCUAAACGAUGUUAACUCGAUAUUUAUUCUUCGGAGUGAGUGUCCAAGCGAAAGCGUUAAGUUAACCACCUGGGGAGUACGUUCGCAAGAAUGAAA
This 550-nucleotide ribosomal RNA is filed under the name uncultured Bacteroidota bacterium. RNAcentral describes it as "bacterial SSU rRNA". It matches the Rfam family "Bacterial small subunit ribosomal RNA", at positions 349 to 899 of the family's 1533-position model. The record is from RNAcentral. Lineage: Bacteria; Pseudomonadati; Bacteroidota.